Molecule: long non-coding RNA, 428 nt
Organism: Eptesicus fuscus (big brown bat)
Lineage: Eukaryota; Metazoa; Chordata; Mammalia; Chiroptera; Vespertilionidae
Exons: 3
Source: RefSeq, a predicted model, not a curated record
GGAGCGCUCGGGCCACCGGCUCCCGCCCCUCCGGGCUGGGCGGGGUGGUCGCAGAGCCCUCAGUGGGCGACGGGCGGACCGUUACCCUGGAAGUUCCUCAGUGAGCAGCGACCGGAGCUGCCCUCUGGGAGGUGGGGAACGCGCGGCUGCUCCCUUGGGCCCUUUGCCUGGACCCGGACCUGGGUGGGCACCAGCCUCAAACCCGACGCUUAACGCGCCGCCGGCCUGCGACGGGCAGGGCCUGCUCGGAGAUCCCGCGCCGCCUGUUAGAAGCCCAUCCUCCUUUACUCCACUACCAAAUCUUGAGGUUCUUCAAAAUCAGUCCCUUGAAAGUGAUGUCAACAAAAAUGACCUGCCAUACAAGAAAUACCAAAUGGAAUCCUUCGGCCUGAAAUGAAGGGACACUGGGCAGUACCAUGAAGAAAUCA